Molecule: ribosomal RNA, 865 nt
Filed under: Melonis sp.
Lineage: Eukaryota; Foraminifera; Rotaliida; Nonionidae
Description: SSU rRNA
Rfam family: Eukaryotic small subunit ribosomal RNA
Source: RNAcentral
AAGGGCACCACAAGAACGCGUGGAGCAUGUGGCUUAAUUUGACUCAACGCCGGAAAUCUUACCGGGUCCGGACACACUGAGGAUUGACAGGCAAUAUUAAUACGUGUUCGCAUGUAUUAUGUUAAAUAUGCUAGUCCUUUCAUGAUUAUGUGAUAGGUGGUGCAUGGCCGUUCUUAGUUCGUGGAGUGAUCUGUCUGCUUAAUUGCGUUUCACUAAGGGCCUAUAAAUUUACGUGUGUUGCGGCUCUUUGACCCCUUUCUUUUUAUAAAAGAAAGCGCGCGUCUUAGUAUGCUUUGCUCACACAAUUAGGUCCUGAAAGCAACGAACGUGACCGCAACCUCUUGUUGCCUUUAUACCAAACAUGUUUGUUAUUUUUAUAACAUUCAUGAAAAAAGGCUUUUUAAACUAGAGGGACCGCUGUUACUUUCUUAAACCAGAGGAAGGUUGCGGCAAUAACAGGUCUGUGAUGCCCUUAGAUGUUCCGGGCUGCACACGUGCUACAAUGAUUAUUGCAGUGAGCAUCUCAUUUUUACACACCGCAUGCGCGAGUCCAUUUAUUCACUUCGGUGUUUUAAAUGUGUGUCUCUGCGCGCGGUAAAGCCUGCUUCGAAAGUAAGUGGGUAAUCAAUUAGAAGUAAUGAUUUCCUUUUUUUAGCACACAUAUAUACGGCGUCUAUACCCGGGUUACCUUGUUGUAACUUUUGUGCGUAUAGAUGUUUUUUCCGUAUGUGCGAUUGUCAAUUCAUGGUGGGGACAGACCAUUGUUAAUUGUUGGUCUCGGUCUUAACUAGGAAUGCCUUGUACGGGUCUUUGGUUCAACAAACCACCCGGAAUACGUCCCUGCCCUUUGUACACACCGCCCGUC